CCAGCCACCACGGUAAUUCGUAGGGGGCAAGCGGUCUUCGGAAUUAUUGGGCGUAAAGGGCGCGUAGGCGGUUUUUUAAGUUAGAUGUUAAAGCCCCCGGCUCAACCGUGGAGGGUCAUUUGAAACUGGAAAUCUUGAGUGCAGGAGAGGAAAGCAGAAUUCCUUGUGUAGCGGUGAAAUGCGCAGAGAUUUGGAAGAACCCCCGUGGCGAAGGCGGCUUUCCGGUCUGUAACUGACGCUGGGGCAAGAAAGCGAGGGGAGCAAACAGGCUUAGAUACCCUGGUAGUUCACGCCGUAAACGAUGAUG
RNAcentral lists this ribosomal RNA (307 nucleotides) under bacterium. Its description in RNAcentral is "bacterial SSU rRNA". It matches the Rfam family "Bacterial small subunit ribosomal RNA", at positions 508 to 814 of the family's 1533-position model. The record is from RNAcentral.